This 766-nucleotide ribosomal RNA is filed under the name Heteroscyphus dubius. Its description in RNAcentral is "eukaryotic LSU rRNA". The stretch from base 394 to 547 matches the Rfam family "5.8S ribosomal RNA". The record is from RNAcentral. Lineage: Eukaryota; Viridiplantae; Streptophyta; Jungermanniopsida; Jungermanniales; Lophocoleaceae.
UGUACACACGAUGCAGCAAACCCGCCAACUGUUGUCGUCCCCGGAGGGGUCUCACCCGGAGGUGAGGCCGUCGAUGGCGUGGAUCGGCCCCCCCCGGGGGGCCGGCCCGUGGGCGAGAUGGGUGUCUUCGCCGUCGGCUGGAGUGUGCCUCGUACUUGCGAUUCUUGGCGUGGGAAGCUGGCAUCCCCCGUGUAUGGCGGGGGAGGCGGCGGCCUGCGGUUGGGGUCGGGCUCUCUCCCCUCCUCCUUUGUCCCCGUCUUCGGGGGCUCUGGGGCCGUUUUUUCACCAGCACCUUGAGGGACAUGAACUGGAAGACUGAGGGUGUAUAGGGCUUGUGGGGGCUGCCUUGGUGUGUGGGCAGUGCACAACCCGAGUGGAAAAUCGAGAAGCAACGACUCUCAGCAACGGAUAUCUUGGCUCCUGCAACGAUGAAGAACGCAGCGAAAUGCGAUACCUAGUGUGAAUUGCAGAAUUCCGCGAAUCAUCGAGUCUUUGAACGCAAGUUGCGCCCGAGGCUUGUCCCGAGGGCAUGCCUGCCUGAGCGUCAUCGCACUCCCACCCGGAAACAUCUUCGGUGUGGAUCUGGCCGUCCGGAAUCCGGCGUGACCGCCGUGGGUUGCGGUGGGCUGAAAUGCAACGAUCCGGAAGCUACCGAAUGGAGUGGCCGGGAGAAGGUGAUCCGCUCCCUUUGCGGAGCGGAGUCUCUGAUUUGGAGAAGGGCUCUCUUUUCCGGUGGUCCGGUCGAUUGGCUAUGGGAUCCUGUGUU